AGUCCCCCCGAUUCCU
Molecule: transfer RNA, 16 nt
Filed under: Pampus minor
Lineage: Eukaryota; Metazoa; Chordata; Actinopteri; Scombriformes; Stromateidae
Description: partial tRNA-Ile
Source: RNAcentral